GUGUGGGUGCCGGAGAGGUCUAACGGGGCUGACUGUAAAUCAGCUGAUUGCAAAAUCUUCGUAGGUUCGAAUCCUACCCCGCACA
Molecule: transfer RNA, 85 nt
Filed under: Candidatus Blackburnbacteria bacterium
Lineage: Bacteria; Candidatus Blackburniibacteriota
Description: tRNA-Tyr
Rfam family: tRNA
About the family: Transfer RNA (tRNA) molecules are approximately 80 nucleotides in length. Their secondary structure includes four short double-helical elements and three loops (D, anti-codon, and T loops).
Source: RNAcentral